GACCCCUUAGCUCAGUGGUAGAGCGUGUGAUUCCAGAAUGGUCUGAACCCCAGAUCUGGGCGUCCACAAGGCCGUGCGUUCGAUCCGCCCAGGGGUCA
Armillaria novae-zelandiae is the source of this 98-nucleotide non-coding RNA. Lineage: Eukaryota; Fungi; Basidiomycota; Agaricomycetes; Agaricales; Physalacriaceae. The record is from the annotation of a GenBank genome assembly.